GAAUUUUAUCAUUUCACCAGUACACUUACUAAAAUUGAAAUAAUACAGAGAUUAGCGUAGCUCCCAAGCAAGGAUGACAUGUAAAUUUGUGAAGCAUUCCAGAUUUUU
Sarcophilus harrisii (Tasmanian devil) is the source of this 108-nucleotide small nuclear RNA. NCBI's taxonomy places the organism in Eukaryota, Metazoa, Chordata, Mammalia, Dasyuromorphia, Dasyuridae. The record is from Ensembl.